GCCUCUGUGGUGGAACUGGUAGACACGCUACGUUUAGGCCGUAGUCUGAAGUAAUAGUAGGGUGCAGGUUCGAGUCCUGUCAGAGGUA
Molecule: transfer RNA, 88 nt
Filed under: Caudoviricetes sp.
Lineage: Duplodnaviria; Heunggongvirae; Uroviricota; Caudoviricetes
Description: tRNA-Leu
Rfam family: tRNA
About the family: Transfer RNA (tRNA) molecules are approximately 80 nucleotides in length. Their secondary structure includes four short double-helical elements and three loops (D, anti-codon, and T loops).
Source: RNAcentral